GUUUGAUCCUGGCUCAGAUUGAACGCUGGCGGCAUGCCUUACACAUGCAAGUCGAACGGCAGCGGGCCUUCGGGUGCCGGCGAGUGGCGAACGGGUGAGUAAUGCAUCGGAACGUGCCAUUGAGUGGGGGAUAACGUAGCGAAAGUUACGCUAAUACCGCAUAUUCUGUGAGCAGGAAAGCAGGGGACCGCAAGGCCUUGCGCUCUUUGAGCGGCCGAUGUCAGAUUAGCUAGUUGGUGAGGUAAAGGCUUACCAAGGCGACGAUCUGUAGCGGGGUCUGAGAGGAUGAUCCGCCACACUGGAACUGAGACACGGUCCAGACUCCUACGGGAGGCAGCAGUGGGGAAUUUUGGACAAUGGGCGCAAGCCUGAUCCAGCCAUGCCGCGUGAGUGAAGAAGGCCUUCGGGUUGUAAAGCUCUUUCGGCCGGGAAGAAAUCGCAUGGGUUAAUACCCUGUGUGGAUGACGGUACCGGAAUAAGAAGCACCGGCUAACUACGUG
This 500-nucleotide ribosomal RNA is filed under the name uncultured bacterium. RNAcentral's name for it is "bacterial SSU rRNA". It matches the Rfam family "Bacterial small subunit ribosomal RNA", at positions 11 to 507 of the family's 1533-position model. The record is from RNAcentral.